Molecule: unclassified non-coding RNA, 159 nt
Filed under: Arthrographis kalrae
Lineage: Eukaryota; Fungi; Ascomycota; Dothideomycetes; Eremomycetales; Eremomycetaceae
Description: partial internal transcribed spacer 2
Source: RNAcentral
CACCCGUCAAGCCUCGCUUGGUGUUGGGGGACGUCGCGCCUCGCGCGACCCCCCCGGAACCCGUUGGCGGUGGCCCUUCGCCCCGAUCGUCGCGCACGUUACGACGGCGCGGGGGGACCGCCCGCCCAACCGGCCGGCAACGGCCGCACAACACGCAAC